GUCCUACGGGAGGCAGCAGUGAGGAAUAUUGGUCAAUGGGCGCGAGCCUGAACCAGCCAAGUCGCGUGAGGGAAGACGGUCCUAUGGAUUGUAAACCUCUUUUGUCGGGGAGCAAAAGACGCCACGUGUGGCGUUCCGAGAGUACCCGAAGAAAAAGCAUCGGCUAACUCCGUGCCAGCAGCCGCGGCAAUACGGAGGAUGCGAGCGUUAUCCGGAUUUAUUGGGUUUAAAGGGUGCGCAGGCGGAAGAUCAAGUCAGCGGUCAAAUACGGGGGCUCAACCUGCGUCCGCCGUUGACACUGGCGU
This 305-nucleotide ribosomal RNA is filed under the name uncultured bacterium. RNAcentral's name for it is "bacterial SSU rRNA". It matches the Rfam family "Bacterial small subunit ribosomal RNA", at positions 335 to 639 of the family's 1533-position model. The record is from RNAcentral.